RNAcentral lists this microRNA (21 nucleotides) under Mus musculus (house mouse). Its description in RNAcentral is "mmu-miR-5124b". The record is from miRBase by way of RNAcentral. Lineage: Eukaryota; Metazoa; Chordata; Mammalia; Rodentia; Muridae.
UGGCUCAGUGACUAAGAAGCA